This 263-nucleotide signal recognition particle RNA is filed under the name bovine gut metagenome. RNAcentral describes it as "Bacterial large signal recognition particle RNA". It matches the Rfam family "Bacterial large signal recognition particle RNA". From Rfam's summary of the family: The signal recognition particle (SRP) is a universally conserved ribonucleoprotein involved in the co-translational targeting of proteins to membranes. Archaeal SRP consists of a 7S RNA and homologues of the eukaryotic SRP19 and SRP54 proteins. In most bacteria, the SRP consists of a 4.5S RNA and the Ffh protein (a homologue of the eukaryotic SRP54 protein). The record is from RNAcentral.
CGCACUAGUCGGGGAGAUAGCGGUGCCCUGUUGCCUGCAAUCCGCUACAGCAGGGAUGAAUUCCCGCCCGAGGAGCGCGCCUGUGUUGUCUGCCCACUGUGAGCAGCGAUGAUGAGACGGUCUUGCGCAACGGAAACCCGCGAACCAUGUCAGGCGGGGAACCGAGCAGCAUUAAACGGGAGCUUCCGUGUGCCGCGAGGCAGCCGCCUUUGAGCCAGCUGCAUUGGUUCCGGAUAUAGGUUCGUUUUCAAUGGCGGGUGUGC